Ornithorhynchus anatinus (platypus) is the source of this 138-nucleotide small nucleolar RNA. Lineage: Eukaryota; Metazoa; Chordata; Mammalia; Monotremata; Ornithorhynchidae. The record is from RefSeq and is a predicted model, not a curated record.
CCCUUUCUCAGGUUGCAUCUGGAGAGUUUUCCAGUACUCUACCAGUCUCAGCUAAGGGAGGGAGAGUCAAGCAGAGGUAUAGCAUUCCAUUCCUAGCUUGGGCAGUGGUUAGUGAGUGGAAGACAAUCUGCUACACGU